CAGGCUGGCGGCGUGCUUAACACAUGCAAGUCGAACGGUGAACCGCUUUCGGGCAGGGAUCAGUGGCGAUUGGUGAGUAACACGUGGGUAACCUGCCCUCCACUUUGGGCUAACUCCGGGAAACCGGGGCUAAUACCGGAUACGACCUUUGGCGGCAUCGCCUCGGGUGGAAAGUUAGUCGAAGGAGGAUGGACCCGCGGCCUAUGAGCUUGUUGGUGGGGUAACGGCCUACCAAGGCUUUGACGGGUAGCCGGCCUGAGAGGGCGACCGGCCACACUGGGACUGAGACACGGCCCAGACUCCUACGGGAGGCAGCAGUGAAGAAUAUUGCACAAUGGGCGAAACACAGACCCAGCGACGCCGCGUGAGGGAUGACGGCCUUCGCGUUGUAAGACCCUUUCAGCAGGGACGAUGCGCAAGUGACUGUACCUGCAGAAGAAGCACCGGCUAACUACGUGCCAGCAGCCGCGGUAAUACGCUGGGUGCGAGCGUUGUCCGGAAUUAUUGGGAAGAGCUUGUAGGUGGCUCGUUGCGUCGGGAGUGAAAACCGCAACCUUAACCGCGGGCCUGCUUCCGAUACGGGCGGGCUAGAGUUCGGCAGGGGAGACUGGAAUUCCUGGUGUAGCGGUGGAAUGCGCAGAUAUCAGGAGGAACACCGGUGGCGAAGGCGGGUCUCUAGGCCGAUACUGACACUGAGAAGCGAAAGCGUGGGGGCAGAACAGGAUUAGAUACCCUGGUAGUCCACGCCGUAAACGUUGGGAACUAGGUGUGGGGUCCAUUCCACGGGCUCUGUGCCGCAGCUAACGCAUUAAGUUCCCCGCCUGGGGAGUACGGCCGCAAGGCGCUGACC
Molecule: ribosomal RNA, 850 nt
Filed under: uncultured Catenulispora sp.
Lineage: Bacteria; Bacillati; Actinomycetota; Actinomycetes; Catenulisporales; Catenulisporaceae
Description: bacterial SSU rRNA
Rfam family: Bacterial small subunit ribosomal RNA
Source: RNAcentral